This 735-nucleotide ribosomal RNA is filed under the name Triticum aestivum (bread wheat). Its description in RNAcentral is "partial small subunit ribosomal RNA". The record is from RNAcentral. Lineage: Eukaryota; Viridiplantae; Streptophyta; Magnoliopsida; Poales; Poaceae.
AUGUCUUCCAGCAACAAGAUCUCGUUGAAGCUGCUGGUGGACACCAAGUCGAAGAAGGUGCUGUUCGCGGAGGCUGGCAAGGAGUUCGUCGACUUCGUCUUCAGCCUGCUGACCCUGCCCAUCGGCGCCGUGGUCAAGCUCAUCUCCGCCGGCACGAUGCAGGGGAGCAUCGGCCGCCUGUACCAGAGCGUGGACAACAUCGGCUCCUCCUACCUGCAGCCCAACAAGGACAAGUCCGAGCUGCUCCAGCCCAAGGUGCUGCACCCGGACGCCCGGGAGCUGCUGCUUCUGCAGGGCGGCGGGGGCGAGGGGUCGUCCCCGUCCUCCCCGCUGGCGAGGUUCAAGAUGUACACCUGUGCCGGCUACUGCGCCACCGCCACCAUGGAGGCCAAGGCGGCCUGCCCGCAGUGCAAGCAGGCCAUGGCGACCGAGGUCACGUUCGUGCUGCCGUCCGCCGCUCCCAAGACGUCCUCCUCCACGGCCGCUGCGGCCGGCGACGAGACCGGCGGAUACGUGAAGGGGCUCGUCACCUACAUGGUCACCGACGGGCUGGAGGUGACCCCCAUGUCCGCCAUCUCCAGCAUCACCCUCAUCAACAAGUUCAGCGUCAACAAGGACGUGGAGCUCGCCGAGAAGUUCGUCAGCGUCGGCAUGGACGAGGGGCUCGGCCUCCUCAAGGCGGCACUUCGCUCCGACACCGUGCUCUCCGACGUGUUCCUCGUCAAGAAGAAGUGA